AUGGCAGAUGCUCAAACGAAGAGUAACCACAAAACCAGUGUCUUAGAGGGAGGUGGAGAUGACAGAAUUGUUCCAAAGACGCAAGGUUUCUGGGUGCUGUAUCAAGGCUGCUGGCUGAGACCCUCGGCGCAGUUCAAGGCGCGCCCCGAUGACAUCCUCCUCGUUACGUACCCAAAGUGCGGCACCACCUGGCUCAAGGCCCUCGCCUUCACCAUCACCAACCUCUUUCGCCACACCGUCAUCGGCGCCGACCACCCGCUGCUCACCUACCACCCGCAGGACCUCGUGCCGUUUCUCGAGAUGCCCUACCGUCAGCUCCACCCUCUCGCCGAUCUCGAGAAGCUCCCCUCCCCAUGGCUCCUCUCCACCCACGUAUCAGUCACGCUGCUCCCUCCGUGCGUGGCGACCCUCGGUUCCCGAGUUGUGUACUUAUGCCGCAGUCCCAAGGAUGUGCUCGUGUCCUUAUGGCACUUCAUCUAUAACGUAAACACGAACUACUCCAUAGAUAAAGCAUUUGAGUUGUUUUCCAAGGGGGAAUCCUCGUAUGGGCCUAUAUGGGAACAUAAUCUCGGGUUCUGGAAGGAAAGCAUAUCAAACAACGAUAGAGUUCUCUUCUUGAAGUAUGAUGAGAUGAUGGCCCAACUGGUCGAGCAUGUCAAGAUGCUCGCCGAGUUCCUCCGUGUUCCCUUCAUGGAGGAGGAGGUGCGAUGUGGGGUCGUGGAGGAUGUCGUGCACUUGUGUAGCUUCGAUAAGCUCAAAAGCAUACCAGUCAACUCAUCCGGGGUAUCUGAUAGGAUUGGCGGGGUGCCGAUGGAGAAUUCUUCCUUCUUUAGGACUGCCAAGGUUGGUGACUGGGCAAACCACUUGACCAUUGAGAUGGCAGAGAAGCUGGAUGGCAUUGUUGAGAGAGAGGAUCUAAUCUUACAUUCU
Molecule: ribosomal RNA, 930 nt
Filed under: Triticum aestivum (bread wheat)
Lineage: Eukaryota; Viridiplantae; Streptophyta; Magnoliopsida; Poales; Poaceae
Description: partial small subunit ribosomal RNA
Source: RNAcentral